GAAUCAUUUGAGAGUCAGUCAAGAAGUAAGAGUGGAUAAACCUGAUCCCCCCACACACCCUUGAAUGUGCCUCUCUCGCUCUCCAAGCAACGGAGAAGAGGGGACAGUCGUUGCCGCUGGCAGGACUCACACCGCAGCUCUCCUAAAUCUCGUCCCUUGUCGGUGGCAGGCUCCGUCGCCGUGGCGUCGCGUGACAUUCUUUCCCACAGGCAGGCACAUAGUUGCAGACUCUCCUCAUGCGCGAAGGCCUGGGACCCACCAACAGGCGCGGGUCACUUCAAAGCGGGGCGAACUCACAGCUGCAGCCUGUCGGUCCUGUUGCCCUGCUCCAGUUUGUAAUCAAUAUUAAAGGAUUGACCCUGAAGGCAUCUCUGCUGCUGUUCACACAUCACCGUCCUCAGGGGACCGCAGAAGCUCUCCUCUUAAGACAAAUUUGGUUGCCUUGCACCUCGAGUGCCCAGGGAAUAGCGUGAAGAUGCGCAGAGCAUACUGAACCUCCACAUAUUCACUACAGUGUGAUCUUCAGAUUUUUCAGAUUUUCCAACAUACAAAGUGUGCUUAAACAUAUAUUAUUGUAGAAGGCAGCUAGCAGCAAAGAUUGUUAGCUUUUCUCUGAUAAAAAAACUAUUUGAAGAUCAUAUUCGCAACCUAAAAAUGAUUGUGAAUUACGCUAAGGUAGCUGCCAGAAACAUUCAACGACAUGCCACAGAUAAAUGUCUGAGAAUAAACAACGUUUUGCUCCAGGCAUUUCCAUUUAGACUUGGAUAAACUGACUGGGCUGCUAACCACCUGGAUUAGCAUUCGUGUUGUUGCUGUAGGCGGCACUGUAAAUUUGUCAAUACUCUUAUUCUCAGCGAAUCUGCCACAACAAGACUGAGUCAUUCAUAACAACCGUGUUUUGAUUACAGAACUGUGCUUUUUGAAUAACAGUCAUUAGCAACGCUGUACUCCUGUCAAACCCAUCAACAAAUUAGCCAGCUGGCAAAUUUAAUAUCUAGGAUCCUAUUGGAUAUAAGCUACAGGCUAUAGUUUAUUUCCUUUUCUUAUUAGAGUCAAAUGUAUUGAAGUGAUGUAACAUCCUAGUCACUAAAACAACAGCGGGUGCUAGAUGACAGCUGUCCGGCGAGGGAAGGUGUGCCAUUCUCUUUUCCAGGUGUUCAGCAGUAGUUAUUCUGUGCAGAA
Triplophysa dalaica is the source of this 1182-nucleotide long non-coding RNA. RefSeq lists it as uncharacterized. The transcript has 3 exons. NCBI's taxonomy places the organism in Eukaryota, Metazoa, Chordata, Actinopteri, Cypriniformes, Nemacheilidae. The record is from RefSeq and is a predicted model, not a curated record.